Molecule: long non-coding RNA, 1236 nt
Organism: Cyanistes caeruleus (blue tit)
Lineage: Eukaryota; Metazoa; Chordata; Aves; Passeriformes; Paridae
Source: Ensembl
UAAAAGAAAAGAAAGAGGAGAUUCCAGAGCAAUAUUUUUAAAUGCUUCACUAUUUCUUGCUGUACUUAAGGGGAUCAAAAAGACUUCUCAAAAGCUAAGGAAAGCAUGAAAGAUUAAGAUUCCUGCUAGAACACACUGAUGGUUUGUAUCCUGCUGUGUAAGCAAUCUCCUUCCUUUAAGUUAUAACUUCCUUCAUAGAAGCCAUCGUCUUCAAAGUAUUUGUUUCAUCUAGACUGUAAUUUUGAGAGAGGAGAUAAGGUCAGCCUAGAUCUAUGCCAAGAAGAAAAGAAUAAGCAUGCCACUAAUAGAAUGGUUACAAUGAUGUCCAUAUAGACAUAUGUUGUUGGCAAUUUAUAGGAUGCAUCCAAGGCUGAACAUUGUCAUUGGAAAGUCACUCUAUAAUUUUUGGAAGAUUAUAGAGGUCAAGAAAAAUUCCAGAUGAGAGGAAGAGUGACUGGAAUGUAUCAUUACAUUCUACAUGAAAGGUAAAAAAAGAAGAUUCAGGAAACUACAGACUAGGUGACAAGGAAACUGGCUAAUAAUUGAGAAUCUGAACUCUUUUCCAGUUUUCUUGCUUUCUGUCCGAUGAAUGGAAGCAGAAGUUCUCAUUUAUUGGAUAGUGUAGCAUAUUUACAAGCAGUAUUUUUGUGCAAAAAUAGCUGUGAUGAAGCCAGACCAAAAUGUUUACUCUGCUAGUUGAAGACCUACUGAAACCAAAUAAAAGGCUACAACAAAGAAGAAAUUUUCUAGAUGAAUUCCUCUGAGCAAUUAUAAAUAUUUACAUACAAGAUUUAUUUUAUUUAUUUAUUUAUUAGAUACAAGUGAGUAUUUUCAAAUCUACCAAUAGAGCAUUUUUGUGGAUAAUAAUUUAUUUAUUUUUUUUUCCAGGGUUUGCAUGUCAGCUGCCCUCAGGAAGGGUUAAGCUCAUAAGUAAUUGCUCAGAUACCAGAACCAGACUAUAACAUGGAAUAUAUCCUCCAUUUUUAUUUUUCACUGAGGAAGAAAAAUAUCCUGUCAGUAAAACACAUCGUAGUGACAAAUCAGUUUUUCACUUCAUUGGUCUUAUAUUUAAUGUAUAGCCUGUGGCAAUAUAUUUAUACAGUUUGCAGCCUCUGCUUGAGCCCCUGAGGAAGCUUGGCUGUCCUCUGCCCUAUAGAGAGAAAUUCAUUCAUUUCAUGCAAGCUGCAUAUUAUGGGAGUCAGUAAUGUAAGUGGAGAAAAAUGUUGAUUCUCGUUG